RNAcentral lists this transfer RNA (74 nucleotides) under Beijerinckiaceae bacterium. RNAcentral's name for it is "tRNA-Ser". Lineage: Bacteria; Pseudomonadati; Pseudomonadota; Alphaproteobacteria; Hyphomicrobiales; Beijerinckiaceae. The record is from RNAcentral.
GAGUAGCCAGCCGCAAUGGCUUUUUCAGUUUCCUAAACUGUAGGCCACUGGUUCGAAUCCAGUCGGGAUCACCA